This 497-nucleotide ribosomal RNA is filed under the name uncultured bacterium. RNAcentral describes it as "partial 16S ribosomal RNA". It matches the Rfam family "Bacterial small subunit ribosomal RNA", at positions 28 to 507 of the family's 1533-position model. The record is from RNAcentral.
GAUGAACGCUGGCGGCGUGCCUAAUACAUGCAAGUCGAGCGAACGGACGAGAAGCUUGCUUCUCUGAUGUUAGCGGCGGACGGGUGAGUAACACGUGGAUAACCUACCUAUAAGACUGGGAUAACUUCGGGAAACCGGAGCUAAUACCGUAUAAUAUUUUGAACCGCAUGGUUCAAAAGUGAAAUACGGUCUUGCUGUCACUUAUAGAUGGAUCCGCGCUGCAUUAGCUAGUUGUUAAGGUAACGGCUUACCAAGGCAACGAUGCAUAGCCGAACUGAGAGAGUGAUAGGCCACACUGGAACGGAGCCACGGUCAAGAGUCCUAAGAGAGGCAGCAGUAGGGAAUCUGACGCAACGGGCGAAAGCAUGACGGAGUAACGAGGAGUGAGUGAUGACGGUCUUCGGAGCGUAAAAAUCUGUUAUGAGUGAAGAACAUAUGUGUAAGUAAAUGUGCACAUAUUGACGGUACCUAAUCAGAAAGCAACGGCUAACUACGUG